This 363-nucleotide ribosomal RNA is filed under the name Wagneriana atuna. RNAcentral describes it as "partial small subunit ribosomal RNA". The record is from RNAcentral. Lineage: Eukaryota; Metazoa; Arthropoda; Arachnida; Araneae; Araneidae.
ACUAGGAUUAGAUACCCUAUUAUAUUUAAAUAAUUUUAGGUAGUAUUAAAUUUCUAAAGAAACCUAUGCAGUUUGGCGGCAUUUAAUCAUUUUAGAGGAACCUGUCUUUUAAUCGAUAACCCACGAUAAUUCUUACUUUUAUUAAUAUCUUAUAUACCUCCAUCUUAAGGAUUAAUAUUUACAUUUUCCCCUAAAUAGAUAUCUAAAAAGUUAGGUAAAGGUGUAGACUACGUAGAAGAUAAGAUGGGUUACUAUAAACUUUAUUUAAGGAAUUAUGUAUAAAUUCAUUAAAGAAAAAGGAUUUAUUAGUAAUAAAAGAAUAAUAAUCUUCCAUGAAAUUGAUAAACAAUGUGCACACAUCGC